RNAcentral lists this long non-coding RNA (938 nucleotides) under Populus tremula. RNAcentral's name for it is "long non-coding RNA (PTRE_LNC000355)". Lineage: Eukaryota; Viridiplantae; Streptophyta; Magnoliopsida; Malpighiales; Salicaceae. The record is from RNAcentral.
GCUGGCGGCAGCGGAGGCGGCAGCGGCGGUGUAGUCGGCGGCUGUCCUCUUUCUUUCUCUCCUCUGUUUCUGUUCACCGUCACCUUGGGUCAGUUUUUUUUCGUUGUUCCCUCUCUCUGUUCUGCUACUCUUCUUCCUCUGUCUUCUUCUUCAGUUUCAUUCCUCUCUUCUACAAGCCCUCUCUCACGUUGUUCUCAGCUUUCUUCUCCCUUUCGGUCCCUCUCCAAAAGCUUGGUUCUCUCUCUCUCCCUCACGGUUUUCUUUCAAUAAUCUGUCAGCUCUCCCCUCUGUUUUUCUCUUCUUUUUUUUUUUUUUUCCCCUGCUGUUCUUCCUCCAUUUAUAGCCCGUGAGCAUGUGUUUUUUUCUUCUCAUCGUGGGGUCAUACGGCGGCUGGUCGGGCGUGGCUGUCCAGGCGUGCCUCCCUCAGUUUCGGCGGUGCGGUAGGUGGUCGGCCAAUCGGUGGGCUGGAGGGACCAACGCCAUAAAAUAUACAUUCUUUUUUUUUUUUCCUUCUUUACUGCUGCAUGUUAGGCGGGGAAGAAAGGGGAACAGUGCCGUUCAAAACGGCGCCCUUUUCUGUUUUUUUUUUUUUUUUUUUUUUUUUUUUUUUAGUAUGAAACGGCGUCGUUUUGGAUAAAACGCGCCGUUUCAUUUAAAAAUGGCGCCAGAACGCGCUAAAUUCCAAAUCAGCCCUCAAUCAUCUUUUUUCUUUUCAAUUGUGUCCCUACCAAUUUCGGUCCCUGACCCCAUAGUUGGCCGCGUUUUUCACUUUGGUCCUUGGCCUCUGAUUUAUGCAAUUUAGCCCUUAAUUGAUCAAUAAACUUCUAAUUUCUUCAAUUAGGCCCCUGAAUCAAUUCAAUACAGCUCCCUCUAUAUUCGCGCCUUUUCCAAAUUGGUCCCUGGUUUCGGAUUUUCGCAAUUAAACCCCUAAUUGGCCA